Molecule: long non-coding RNA, 1402 nt
Organism: Neltuma alba
Lineage: Eukaryota; Viridiplantae; Streptophyta; Magnoliopsida; Fabales; Fabaceae
Exons: 3
Source: RefSeq, a predicted model, not a curated record
AAUAAUUCUGCGCAAAAGUAACUUCCAACUGAGACAGCUUGGUACAAAGGCGACAGGUGACAUUAGAAUCAGAAAAGGAUGGGAAUAAAGAUAACGUGCAUGUGGGUGGAUGUAUAAAGUCAAUGAUUCAUGGCAACUGAAACAAGCAACCACACGUUCCUUCUGCUCACUAAUACCAUAUAAUGUCGCUAUGAAGAUUCUCCGUUUCGGAGAGCAAGUGACGACUUAUUAAGUGAGUCAUGGCUGAGACAUGUGUUUAUAACGACAGAGUUAUAGAGCCACUUACGGAGAAGAACUCUGGAGAGUGGUUUAAUUUGGUUAAAAACUAUUUGAUAGUUCACCAUCUUUGGGGAGUAAUGAUUGAUGAUGCAACUCCUCCUCAAGAUGAUUCCCGGACAAAAAAGAAUGAAGAAGCAUUGCGCAUCUUACGCAUCUCAUGUUCGCCUGAGACUCGCCUUCUCAUAGAAGGAGUCACCGAAGCCAAGGCUGUCUAGCGCAUUCUCCGUCACAACUUCGCCCGCAAACCAUCUGUGAAUGCAACGGGAGCAAGUUCUUGUGAUGUGGCCAUUUUGUACAAUGCUAUAUGCGCUAACAACUGGCAAGCAGCAAAAGAAUUCCUUAGCCGACAUCCAAGGGCCUUGACUGCGAAAGUUACAGCAACAAAUGGAACACCACUCCAUGUGGCUGCACUUUUUGGACAUUUAAAAGUAGUCGAGGAGUUGGUGAAAUUAGCUAGCCCAGAAUUCCUUGAAAUAGUCGACGAUUAUGGCUCUACUCCACUUGCAAUUGCUGCAUCCACUGGAGACACUCAAAUUGCAAAAUGCAUGCUUGAUAAAAAUAGAAACUUCCUUGGCAUUCCAGACUUGAGAUUUCAUCUUCCUGUUGCAUUGGCUAUUGAUGCUGGCCAGAAAGAAAUGGGAAGUUUUCUCUACAAGGAAACCCCAUUGGAAGUCCUCAAACCCGAAAAUGGCUAUCUAGGUUCUUGACUUCUUCGUGCAUGUUUCGAAGCUGGUGAACUUGGUAACCAACCUUACAUACUACCUUCGUUCCUAAAUAUAAGAGCUAAUUGUAGAGCAAGCAUACUAUAUCCGGUCCUAAGUAUAAAAGCUAGUUUGUAAGGUAACAAACCCUACAAACUAGCUCUUAUAUUUAGGACGAAAAGUAGUAUAUAAAAACAUAUUGAUGCCUUCCUUUGUUGGUAGGGUUCACAACUUUAUCAACCAAGCAAAAUAUCGGUAGCUUCUUUCUAGCUAGCACGAAUAAUUAAGUCAAUACUUGUAUUCAUUUUAUUGUCUAUCUAAUUUUGUUUAUUUGUUUGACAUCUUGCUAUGACUAUAAUAAACAGAUAUUGCUCUGCAUCUACUUGAACAAUAUGAAGACAUCAUUUUUGCUGCAGACCACA